AAAUUAGUUGAUGAACAUGUUUAUGAAUUUGAUUGUGUUCUUUAUGUCAAAUGAUGAUCACUUGGUCCUUUGCGAAAUGCAUCAUUUUGAAGUGCAAGUUUUUGAAUAUGUUAAUGUCAAAUAAAUGGAUAUUCCAUUUUAUGCGUUAUUGUGAAUUCAUAAUUAAUUGAUUUGGUCGUUAAUGGUAUGUGACCAGAAGAAAGAGUUAUAAAGAGCAAAUUAAAGUUCUUUCGUUAUUCACCAAUAGGAGGUCUAGCAUGGUUGUAGUUGCAUCUUUCAGCUUGGGCUAGGUUCCAAAUUCGAGUCUCUCCUCCCCUACUUUGUU
Molecule: unclassified non-coding RNA, 325 nt
Filed under: Hevea brasiliensis (rubber tree)
Lineage: Eukaryota; Viridiplantae; Streptophyta; Magnoliopsida; Malpighiales; Euphorbiaceae
Source: RNAcentral